This 63-nucleotide transfer RNA is filed under the name Acidimicrobiia bacterium. RNAcentral describes it as "tRNA-Val". Lineage: Bacteria; Bacillati; Actinomycetota; Acidimicrobiia. The record is from RNAcentral.
AGAGCCUUGGCCGAGACUUCCCUUACAAGGAAGAAGUCGGCGGUUCGAGUCCGUCAACGCCCA